RNAcentral lists this transfer RNA (72 nucleotides) under Camelus bactrianus (Bactrian camel). It matches the Rfam family "tRNA". Rfam says of the family: Transfer RNA (tRNA) molecules are approximately 80 nucleotides in length. Their secondary structure includes four short double-helical elements and three loops (D, anti-codon, and T loops). The record is from Rfam by way of RNAcentral. Lineage: Eukaryota; Metazoa; Chordata; Mammalia; Artiodactyla; Camelidae. RNAcentral also lists the same sequence under 2 other names.
GGAGAAUAGCUCAGUGGUAAAGCACGUGCUUAGCAGGCACGAGGCCCUAGGGUUCAGUCCUUAUUACCUCCA